AAAAACUUUGCUUCUCUCUCUUUUACUUGUGCAACAAAAUAGAGAAAACAUCUUCUUUCAUUUUUUUUUCCCUGAGAAAACUUCAAAUCUUUCUUUAUUGAGGAAAAACUAUAAAAAUUCUCCCAAUUGAAAACAUCAGUUUUGUUGCAGAGCUCUAACGUUUUGCUUGUUUCUGUUUCUUGACUGCAACUGCAGUGCAGAGUUACUGGUGUGUAUUUUUUUGCUGCUGUUAACCAAUCUUUGUUUCUUUUUUUGUCCAUAUAUAUGCAUUUUUAUGUCAAAGUCUGUAUCUUUUCUGGCUAUUUUUCUUAUAGAUACUGAUACCCUUUAGAUUUUCAAGCUUUUGAGAUCUGAAAUUUGAGGUAUGGACAAUUGGGUGUUCAAUAAAAAGAAGAAGAUCAAUUGUUUUUAACGAAGUUAAGAUGGGUUUGUUUUGGAUUGGUUGAUUGGUGUUGUAAAAUGUGUUAAAGGUUGAAGCUUUG
This 482-nucleotide unclassified non-coding RNA is filed under the name Hevea brasiliensis (rubber tree). Lineage: Eukaryota; Viridiplantae; Streptophyta; Magnoliopsida; Malpighiales; Euphorbiaceae. The record is from RNAcentral.